Molecule: ribosomal RNA, 747 nt
Filed under: uncultured archaeon
Lineage: Archaea
Description: bacterial SSU rRNA
Rfam family: Archaeal small subunit ribosomal RNA
Source: RNAcentral
GCUACUGCUAUUGGGGUUCGAUUAAGCCAUGCAAGUUGAACGAUUCUUCGGAAUCGUGGCGAACGGCUCAGUAACACGUGGAUAACCUACCCUUAGGACCGGUACCACCCUGGGAAACUGGGGACAAUCCCGGAUAGGUGAUUUUUUCUGUAAUGAUUUUUCAUUUAAAUGCUCCGGCGCCUGAGGAUGGGUCUGCGGCAGAUUAGGUAGUUGGUAGGGUAAUGGCCUACCAAGCCGGUGAUCUGUACGGGUUGUGAGAGCAAGAGCCCGGAAAUGGAACCUGAGACAAGGUUCCAGGCCCUACGGGGCGCAGCAGGCGCGAAACCUCCGCAAUGCGAGAAAUCGCGACGGGUUUGUCCCCAAGUGCCACUCUUUAACGGGGUGGCUUUUUCUUGAGUGUAAAAAAGCUUUUUGGGAAUAAGGGGGCUGGGCAAGACCGGUGCCAGCCGCCGCGGUAACACCGGCAGCUCUAGUGGUAGCCAUUUUUAUUGGGCCUAAAGCGUUCGUAGCCGGUUUGAUAAGUCUCUGGUGAAAUCCUGUAGCUUAACUGUGGGAAUUGCUGGAGAUACUAUUAGACUUGAGGUCGGGAGAGGUUAGCGGUACUCCCAGGGUAGGGGUGAAAUCCUGUAAUCCUGGGAGGACCACCUGUGGCGAAGGCGGCUAACUGGAACGAACCUGACGGUGAGGGACGAAAGCCAGGGGCGCGAACCGGAUAAGAUACCCGGGUAGUCCUGGCCGUAAACGAUG